This is an RNA transcript of Pyrus x bretschneideri (Chinese white pear), 1406 nucleotides long. It is a transcript of the gene named probable glutathione S-transferase DHAR2, chloroplastic, with no coding region annotated. NCBI's taxonomy places the organism in Eukaryota, Viridiplantae, Streptophyta, Magnoliopsida, Rosales, Rosaceae. The record is from RefSeq and is a predicted model, not a curated record. The transcript is spliced from 7 exons.
AUCUGGAACUUCCUGGUACACAAAAUCAGCUGUACGGAAUAUAGCUAGCUCCAGUAUCACUCUUCGACACUCGUAAUCAGGCUAAUCUCCACGAUAAGCUAGCUUUAGAUAUUGCAAUGUUGACCACCGCCAAAAUCCAUCCGGCAGCCUCCGCUGUACUCUCCUCCACCAUCAAACACCACCUCCGGCCGCCUCCCAACGCCGUCGUAUUCAGAACCAACCCCAACUCCCUGCGACGCCGCGGAACCACAAGAACCCUCACGGUGGCAAUGGUCGCCCCUCUCGACGUUUGCGCCAAGGCCUCCACCACUGUUCCCAACAAGCUCGGCGACUGUCCGUUUUGUCAAAGGGUGUUGCUGACUCUAGAGGAAAAGCAUCUCCCUUAUGACCUGAAGUUGGUAGACUUGGGCAACAAGCCAGAAUGGUUCUUAAAAAUUAACUCGGAAGGUAAAGUUCCUGUGGUCAAACUUGAUGAGAAGUGGGUUGCGGAUUCAGAUAUUAUUACACAAGCACUGGAAGAAAAGUACCCAGAACCACCUUUGGCAACGCCCCCUGAGAAGGCUUCAGUUGGAUCAAAGAUCUUCUCUACAUUUAUCGGUUUCCUAAAGAGCAAAGACCCCAAGGAUGGAACUGAACAAGCAUUGCUAAAUGAACUUAGCUCUUUCAACGAUUAUCUCAAAGAAAAUGGUCCUUUUAUCAAUGGGAAAGAGGUUUCUGCUGCUGAUUUGUCGCUUGGACCCAAGUUGUAUCAUCUAGAGAUUGCUCUGGGGUAUUUCAAAGAUUGGUCAAUUCCUGAUUCCCUUCCAUAUGUGAAAUCUUACAUGAAGAGUAUAUUCUCACUGGAUUCAUUCGUUAAAACUAGUGCCCUGAAAGAAGAUGUCAUUGCGGGUUGGCGUCCGAAAGUCUUGGGUUAAAAUGUCUUGCUGCUGUUCUCUCUAGGUAUAUACUUUAACUUUACCUGUACUGUACCUUAAUCAAGUCAAUCAUUUCUCUAUCAUCGACUUAGUGUAUUGGAAGUCACAUUGUCAGAUGAGAGAGUACGCCGAGUUCAUAGACUCUGGCGGGAAAAAAGAAAAUCAAGAAGGACGUUGAUCAGAUGUUGGAAUAUCUCAAGUUUUGCCAUCCUUCUGUGUUUUUAUCUACUUGCCACCGAAGCUCAGCGAGAUAAUAGUACGUUGAGGCUGAAGCAAAGUGAGUGAUCUUGCAUAGCUCGAGUACAGAAGGUGAAAAUAUAGUUACAUAAAAUCGCCUAAGCAACAGUUUUCAACACAAGACGAUAAGCAUCAAACGCUAACAUUGAACUUUUCGUACAUAUUUUUCGUGUCAAUUGUGCAACAUGCAAAUGAACCCUGCUUGGUUGGGUUUUUGUGCACCCGAAUAAUAACGAACAGAAUUACAGUGUUCAA